This 2303-nucleotide ribosomal RNA is filed under the name Proteus mirabilis. RNAcentral's name for it is "partial 23S ribosomal RNA". It matches the Rfam family "Bacterial large subunit ribosomal RNA", at positions 643 to 2925 of the family's 2925-position model. Lineage: Bacteria; Pseudomonadati; Pseudomonadota; Gammaproteobacteria; Enterobacterales; Morganellaceae. The record is from RNAcentral.
AGGUUAACCGUAUAGGGGAGCCGUAGGGAAACCGAGUCUUAACUGGGCGAAUGAGUUGCAGGGUAUAGACCCGAAACCCGGUGAUCUAUCCAUGGGCAGGUUGAAGGUUGGGUAACACUAACUGGAGGACCGAACCGACUAAUGUUGAAAAAUUAGCGGAUGACUUGUGGAUGGGGGUGAAAGGCCAAUCAAACCGGGAGAUAGCUGGUUCUCCCCGAAAGCUAUUUAGGUAGCGCCUCGUGAAUUCAUCUUCGGGGGUAGAGCACUGUUUCGACUAGGGGGUCAUCCCGACUUACCAACUCGAUGCAAACUGCGAAUACCGAAGAAUGUUAUCACGGGAGACACACGGCGGGUGCUAACGUCCGUCGUGAAGAGGGAAACAACCCAGACCGCCAGCUAAGGUCCCAAAGUCAUGGUUAAGUGGGAAACGAAGUGGGAAGGCUCAGACAGCCAGGAUGUUGGCUUAGAAGCAGCCAUCAUUUAAAGAAAGCGUAAUAGCUCACUGGUCGAGUCGGCCCGCGCGGAAGAUGUAACGGGGCUAAACCAUGCACCGAAGCUGCGGCAGCGACACGUAGUGUUGUUGGGUAGGGGAGCGUUCUGUAAGCCUGCGAAGGUGUACUGUGAGGUAUGCUGGAGGUAUCAGAAGUGCGAAUGCUGACAUAAGUAACGAUAAUGCGGGUGAAAAACCCGCACGCCGGAAGACCAAGGGUUCCUGUCCAACGUUAAUCGGGGCAGGGUGAGUCGACCCCUAAGGCGAGGCUGAAAAGCGUAGUCGAUGGGAAACGGGUUAAUAUUCCCGUACUGGUGGUAACUGCGAUGGGGGAACGGAGAAGGCUAGGUUGUCCGGGCGACGGUCGUCCCGGUUCAAGCAGGUAGGCAGAGUGAUUAGGCAAAUCCGGUCACUUAAUGCUGAGAUGUGAUGACGAACCACUAAGGUGGUGAAGCAAUUGAUGCCCCGCUUCCAGGAAAAGCCUCUAAGCUUCAGGUUACCAACAAUCGUACCCCAAACCGACACAGGUGGUCAGGUAGAGAAUACUCAGGCGCUUGAGAGAACUCGGGUGAAGGAACUAGGCAAAAUGGUGCCGUAACUUCGGGAGAAGGCACGCUGGCGGUAGGUAAAGUCCCUUGCGGACGGCGCUGAAGCCAGUCGAAGAUACCAGCUGGCUGCAACUGUUUAUUAAAAACACAGCACUGUGCAAACACGAAAGUGGACGUAUACGGUGUGACGCCUGCCCGGUGCUGGAAGGUUAAUUGAUGGGGUCAGCCGUAAGGCGAAGCUCCUGAUCGAAGCCCCAGUAAACGGCGGCCGUAACUAUAACGGUCCUAAGGUAGCGAAAUUCCUUGUCGGGUAAGUUCCGACCUGCACGAAUGGCGUAAUGAUGGCCAGGCUGUCUCCACCCGAGACUCAGUGAAAUUGAACUCGCUGUGAAGAUGCAGUGUACCCGCGGCAAGACGGAAAGACCCCGUGAACCUUUACUAUAGCUUGACACUGAACAUUGAGCCUUGAUGUGUAGGAUAGGUGGGAGGCUUUGAAGUGUGGACGCCAGUCUGCAUGGAGCCAACCUUGAAAUACCACCCUUUAACGUUUGAUGUUCUAACCUAGGCCCAUAAACUGGGUCGGGGACCGUGUCUGGUGGGUAGUUUGACUGGGGCGGUCUCCUCCUAAAGAGUAACGGAGGAGCACGAAGGUUGGCUAAGCAUGGUCGGACAUCAUGCGGUUAGUGCAAAGGCAUAAGCCAGCUUGACUGCGAGAGUGACGGCUCGAGCAGGUACGAAAGUAGGUCUUAGUGAUCCGGUGGUUCUGAAUGGAAGGGCCAUCGCUCAACGGAUAAAAGGUACUCCGGGGAUAACAGGCUGAUACCGCCCAAGAGUUCAUAUCGACGGCGGUGUUUGGCACCUCGAUGUCGGCUCAUCACAUCCUGGGGCUGAAGUAGGUCCCAAGGGUAUGGCUGUUCGCCAUUUAAAGUGGUACGCGAGCUGGGUUUAGAACGUCGUGAGACAGUUCGGUCCCUAUCUGCCGUGGGCGUUGGAAGAUUGAGAGGGGUUGCUCCUAGUACGAGAGGACCGGAGUGAACGCACCACUGGUGUUCGGGUUGUCAUGCCAAUGGCAUUGCCCGGUAGCUAAGUGCGGAAGAGAUAACCGCUGAAAGCAUCUAAGCGGGAAACUUGCCUCGAGAUGAGUCUUCCCUGUCGCUUUAAGCGACCUAAAGGAACGUUUAAGACUAAGACGUUGAUAGGCUGGGUGUGUAAGCGUAGCGAUACGUUGAGCUAACCAGUACUAAUGAACCGUGAGGCUUAACCUG